This 391-nucleotide ribosomal RNA is filed under the name Salmonella enterica subsp. enterica serovar Typhimurium str. CDC_2009K1283. RNAcentral's name for it is "bacterial SSU rRNA". It matches the Rfam family "Bacterial small subunit ribosomal RNA", at positions 1 to 391 of the family's 1533-position model. The record is from RNAcentral. Lineage: Bacteria; Pseudomonadati; Pseudomonadota; Gammaproteobacteria; Enterobacterales; Enterobacteriaceae.
AAUUGAAGAGUUUGAUCAUGGCUCAGAUUGAACGCUGGCGGCAGGCCUAACACAUGCAAGUCGAACGGUAACAGGAAGCAGCUUGCUGCUUCGCUGACGAGUGGCGGACGGGUGAGUAAUGUCUGGGAAACUGCCUGAUGGAGGGGGAUAACUACUGGAAACGGUGGCUAAUACCGCAUAACGUCGCAAGACCAAAGAGGGGGACCUUCGGGCCUCUUGCCAUCAGAUGUGCCCAGAUGGGAUUAGCUAGUUGGUGAGGUAACGGCUCACCAAGGCGACGAUCCCUAGCUGGUCUGAGAGGAUGACCAGCCACACUGGAACUGAGACACGGUCCAGACUCCUACGGGAGGCAGCAGUGGGGAAUUGCACAAUGGGCGCAAGCCUGAUGCAG